GACGAACGCUGGCGGCGUGCUUAACACAUGCAAGUCGUACGGUAAGGCCCUUUCGGGGGUACACGAGUGGCGAACGGGCGAGUAACACGUGAGUAACCUGCCCACAACUUUGGGAUAACGCUAGGAAACUGGUGCUAAUACUGGAUAUGUGCUCCUGCUGCAUGGUGGGGGUUGGAAAGCUCCGGGGGUUGUGGAUGGACUCGCGGCCUAUCAGCUUGCUGGUGGGGUAGUGGCCUACCAAGGCGGCGACGGGUAGCCGGCCUGAGAGGGUGACCGGCCACAUUGGGACUGAGAUACGGCCCAGACUCCUACGGGAGGCAGCAGUGGGGAAUAUUGCACAAUGGGCGCAAGCCUGAUGCAGCAACGCCGCGUGCGGGAUGACGGCCUUCGGGUUGUAAACCGCUUUCAGCAGGGACGAAGCUUUUUGUGACGGUACCUGCAGAAGAAGCACCGGCUAACUACGUG
Molecule: ribosomal RNA, 465 nt
Filed under: uncultured bacterium
Lineage: Bacteria
Description: partial 16S ribosomal RNA
Rfam family: Bacterial small subunit ribosomal RNA
Source: RNAcentral